Nicotiana attenuata is the source of this 677-nucleotide long non-coding RNA. RefSeq lists it as uncharacterized. The transcript has 4 exons. The record is from RefSeq and is a predicted model, not a curated record. Lineage: Eukaryota; Viridiplantae; Streptophyta; Magnoliopsida; Solanales; Solanaceae.
ACAUCUCCCACUCUAACCCUUUCCCACUCUAAGCAACUAUCCCUAAAACCCUCGUUCCUCUUGCUUUGAAAAACGGAAAUUGUCAAGAAAGCAAAUGAGUUGGUGAGGCACAAUAUUCACCCAAAUUUGAUGAUCAGCUGAGUAGAUAUAGGGCACUCGUGUUAUGGCAUCAACGUAGAAACAAACAAGUGUAAUAACCAUGAGGUUAGAAUUUAUGACUCCUUCAUAGUUGUAGAAACAGAAGGUGGCAGUCCUGCAAGAUCAAUAGGGUAACAUGGCAGUCUUGCUGGAUCAGGAGGUGUGGUGUCACCAGGUGAAAUAAUCGAUGGAGUGCUAUAAGAUCUUAUUUUGUUGCGUCCUUCUUCUUGAUAUCCACAAGAACAACAAUUUCUUUCACGCAAAUGGUACAAAUAAAAUCUACUAAUGACUUUCAAUUCGCCAUCAGAACCUGGUAUUAGAAAAGCAUUGGAGCACUUAUGAGUUUUCACUUCUCUUCACUGUCCGUUGAUGGUUACCAUCCCUAUCCAGACUCACAUUAGCUAGUUUUCUUAGAACUUUAUUAUUCGUGUUGUAAAAGAGUUAUAUACCUGUAUGAAAUUAUUCUUUUUCUUGUAAAACAAUAUCGUUAUGUUUUGAGUAUAACAAUAUUUUAGUAUUCUAAUUUAUCUUGAAUGAUA